AACUCUGCACAUCACUAUUUUUUAAAAAAUGACACUUUCAUUGAGGGCAAUUGCAGCACAUAUCACAAUUUCCUGAAUGGCCCGAGUGAUUAUGAUGCGCUUUCCUUGGAGAUAUUCCACCCAAAACCCUCAUUCAUCCAAGUACGGCACAUUUACAACUCGUAAUCGAGUUCGCCUGAAGGAUGAAUGAGGAAUUUUAGUAUGAUGAAUGGAAGUGCGUGGCUCUUGGGAACUUCGGGUAUGCAGGCGAUACUCGCAGCACAAAUUCCUCUCGGAAAAAGCCAACCAUUAAAUGAUGCUGGAUUUAGCUAAAAGUGGUUGCAACAUCGCGCACGACAAAUCACAUGCAUUUGGCCAAAACUUCUGUAUCGAUUGUGCGAAUUUGAAGUCUUGCAGGAUCUGUGUCGCACAGAUAAACCUUGUGUUCCAAAUUUUAUAGAAGAUCAGUCCUUUGACGAAAUACGAUGGAUAUGUUAUGAAGCUAAAAAAAAACUGUUUCGAUCAGUUCGUUAAACAAUUCGCCAAAGAAGCCAUUGAAGCUAAUAAUAAAAUGAAAACAAUGGCGCAGAUAUCACCCCAUGUAGUAGAUAUUAUAUGCCGAUUGUAUGAUGCAACUUCAGAAGCCGCCACAAAUGUGGGUUUGACUAAAAGUAAUAAAACUAAUCCAUUUGGCCUUGAAAUUAGCGUUGCCAGUGACACAGCAUUGAUAUUUAAAAAACCUGGCGCUACAUCCAGCAGUGAUAAAAAUUUUGGUGAUGCUUUUAACGAUCAUGGUCAUACUACCAAUGCCGGAUGCGUAUUUGGCGGAAUGGCACCUUCGACUCCUGGAGGAAUCCUUGGUGGAGCUUCCAAAUGCUAGUUCCAUAUUCGGAGGAGGCGCCCCACUAAAUCUAUUUGGUCAAACGCUGACAAGUACUGAUGUUACUGUUGGACGUUUUGGGCGCGCGCAGCAAGGGACCGGAGGUUUGUGUUCUUCCCAAGCUCAA
This is a long non-coding RNA of Rhagoletis pomonella (apple maggot), 986 nucleotides long. RefSeq lists it as uncharacterized. The transcript has 5 exons. Lineage: Eukaryota; Metazoa; Arthropoda; Insecta; Diptera; Tephritidae. The record is from RefSeq and is a predicted model, not a curated record.